CAUGCAUGCCAUACGUACAAAGCGCCUGCCUGUCAACAAGGGCGCCACUUCACUGCGUGGGAACCAGGCUGUUGAUGUAGUCAGGUGACCCUGCCCGUGUCCUUGGAUGGGAAUAUUUGACACGCGCGAAUAAAUGGAGGCAAAGCAACAUGUAUGGCAGGUGGCAAGGAUAGGAGGGGGCGGCAAAAAAGCCACGACCAUGCGGUGGCCAAAACAAGCAGUUCACGAUGUGACUCAGCGAUGGAGGCUACCAGCUGCUGGUCACACUUUUUGUUUUGUCGCUUGGCUCGACCCUGAAUGGAACGGUCCGUUUAGUCGAUAGCCAUCCGGAAACCGGAGAAAACCCACGCAGGCACGGGGAGAACAUGCAAACUCCACCCUGGCGAGGCCGGGAUUUGAACCCCGGUCCUGAAAAGUGUGAGGCAGAUGUGCUAACCAGUCAUCCACUGUGCCGCCAUAAAGAUGGCGUACAAGUCGUUUGGACCAGCUACAGAACACCUUCGAGCAGCGAGACAGAGAGUGUCAAAUGCAGAGGAGACCACAGGAAGUGACGGACGCAGAGGCGGCAGCGGGACAACCGCCUCAAUCUGAUGUUCGCGUCAUAAAAGACUCUUAGGAUAAUGUGAAGAUACGUAUUUGGUCUCCCAAGAUUCACACGCCUCAGCUGGAUCAGGGACGUCCUGACAAGGCUCGUCAGCUGCAUUGUCGGUAUGACAGGAAGAUUUUGAAGUCGGACCUCCAACAAGUCCUCAACAUUUUCAUCACGCUGAAACACAAACGGAAAAGUUUCAAGUGGAAGUUUUUCACUGGCAAAGCAAGCGGGAUGAAGGUGAUGGUAAAGAGAAGGGAGAAGAGAAAGAAGAGAUGAGGAGGAAGCAGACGAUGAGGAGGAGCGAGAGGAGGGGAAGGAUGAAGAGAAAGGGAUGACGGGAAGGAGGAGGAAGAAGACAAAGAGAAAAAUGGGGAUGAUGGGGAGGAGGAAGAGUACGAAGACGGAAAAGGGGAGGAGGAAGAGGAUGAGGAAGUGGAAGAGGAGGAAAGAUAGUGAGAAAGAAGCAGAAGAGGGUUUGGAAGAGGAGGAAGGGGGAGGAUGAGGAAAAAGAGGAAGAUGAUAAUGAGGAGGAGGACAAAGAGGGGUGUCCGUAUUGUGCUGAGCCUGUUGCAGUUGUUCCGACAUCUCACUGAUGGCCUCCGUUUUCUUGGCAGCCGACUCGCGCGGGGCGACACCGCAACGGUCUCAGUAGCUCAACCAAUAGCAGCAGGCGCAGCAGACCCCCCCCCCCCCCCCCCAAAAAAAAAACAACCACAGUUUUUGUGAUAUUUUUUAAUUAGAAUAAAAGCACUCUAUAAUGCAGUGGUGCGUUGAGAUGCAGGACAGCCGACUGAUGAGUUUUUCAAGAUAUGAGCCGUUGAUCGGAGAAUUUUUUGCUUUGACUUGUGAGUACAAGUGCUGGCGCUCUGAAUCCUGAUUCAUUAUUCGUGUUGACAGUAACAAAUGACUUCCGAAUCAGAAUUGAAUCAUUACUUCUUGUACUAUCAAGAAUUAAAGACUUCAUAGUCCAACAAAGGAAAAACCCUAUUUGAUUAGUUGAAAACAAGCUAUUGAACUGGAAAGAGAGCACGCUGGCGCAUUUUGGCAAUCAGUUCUUCUUAGUGUCAAAUAGCUUACUCUAACCAGGAUCCCUAUCCAUACCGUGGCCAAAGGUAACACUUUUCUAGCUAACCGGUGGGCUAGGCGGCUAGCUAAUUGACCGGCUCGGCAGUGAAAUAUUUAGUAUUUCUUUGAGUAAAUGCAGCAUGGCAGCAGUUACAGCUCUUGUCAGAAUAAAGUAAGUAGUAUGUUAUUCUUUGAUUAGUUGUGAUUCGAAUCCGAAAAUUAACAUUCUGCGUUCAUUUUUGUCAGGGUUAGGGUUAUGCCAAUUCGAGUCACCAAAGAACAGCCCCAGAUGAAGAUAGUGGUGAUUCAACUCACUUCACAACAAGUACAUUUGAAUUAACCAAUUUUAGGAAAAAAAAGGGACACACUAAUAAAACAACUAUGACAAGAAAGACAGGAGUUGGCCGAAUGUGAUCUGCGGACCAUAAUUUGCCUACCCCUGCCCUGUAGACCCCUCUUUGUCAGUGUUUAGUAAAACUGGAGGUUAAAAACAUCAUAAGAGCGAAUACUGCAGUUUGUGAAGCAAAUGUUCUUGGUCUGUCACAAGAUGCCAUUUUUGAAGCUACUAUUUAAAAACUGCUCAAUGGCUUCCUCAACCUGUUGCACAGAAUCCGAAUACGGUGAAUAUGCAAGUAGACGUUCACACAAAUAGAAACGCGCAACCUGCUGACACCUCAAGGAAGGCCACAUUCUCACCUCAAAAAUUUCCACCAACUGACUUGACUUUGUCAGGGCCAGAGUUUCCACCGGAUGUUUUUUGAGGUGACUUUUGUUUCUAAAAACUCAAAUAGGAGCGCCCUUGUUCAGCUCAUCACUGUACAGAUACAGUUGAACAUUAGUAACUGUAAGUCUCAAAAGAAGUUCUUAUGCAGAUAUUAGCUAAUGAUGUGUUGUAAUGAAUGUGCAAAGUGUACAUUAGGUUCUUCUUUUGUUAUUUUUGACUAUAUCCGUGAUCCUCAAAGUGUGCUCCCUCUAGUGGUAAAUAUAUGUUCAA
Molecule: long non-coding RNA, 2651 nt
Organism: Phyllopteryx taeniolatus (common seadragon)
Lineage: Eukaryota; Metazoa; Chordata; Actinopteri; Syngnathiformes; Syngnathidae
Exons: 5
Source: RefSeq, a predicted model, not a curated record